This 69-nucleotide transfer RNA is filed under the name Ovis aries (sheep). It matches the Rfam family "tRNA". Rfam says of the family: Transfer RNA (tRNA) molecules are approximately 80 nucleotides in length. Their secondary structure includes four short double-helical elements and three loops (D, anti-codon, and T loops). Further hydrogen bonds mediate the characteristic L-shaped molecular structure. tRNAs have two regions of fundamental functional importance: the anti-codon, which is responsible for specific mRNA codon recognition, and the 3' end, to which the tRNAs corresponding amino acid is attached (by aminoacyl-tRNA synthetases). tRNAs cope with the degeneracy of the genetic code in two manners: having more than one tRNA (with a specific anti-codon) for a particular amino acid; and 'wobble' base-pairing, i.e. permitting non-standard base-pairing at the 3rd anti-codon position. Lineage: Eukaryota; Metazoa; Chordata; Mammalia; Artiodactyla; Bovidae. The record is from Rfam by way of RNAcentral.
CCUGGUGGUUCAGAUGAUAAAGCAUCUGCCUGCAACGCAGGAGACCCAGGUUCGAUUCCUGGGUCAGGA